RNAcentral lists this long non-coding RNA (2458 nucleotides) under Piliocolobus tephrosceles (Ugandan red Colobus). RNAcentral describes it as "lncRNA (ENSPTEG00000006591.1)". The record is from RNAcentral. Lineage: Eukaryota; Metazoa; Chordata; Mammalia; Primates; Cercopithecidae.
AUACAUGCAUAAAAUACAUAAAAACACAUUUAAUGCCUUUACAGCGAAAAUGAUAUAGAUACCUCGCAGGAAAAUGCAUUUGCCUUUAUGAGGACCUUAUCAAGAAUGAAGCAUAUGAGCACAAAAACAUACUUGGAGAAACACAAAAAACUAUACGAGCAUAACAUAUAGAAAAAAAAAAAAAAAAAAAAAAAAAAAAGAUUAAUAAUUAUUUUAUUUUUUUUUUUUAUACCUGACAUCAUUUUCUUUUAUAUUUUUAAUUCAUUGUAAAUAUAUUGGAUUUUUUCUUUUUUAUCAUAUUAUGUUUGCUUAGAUGUAUAUAUAUAUAUAUACAUAUGUUUGCACUUUUUAAAUUUAACUUUAUAAAGAAUAUUUUUAAAAAUAUUUGUUUUAAUUAGAACUGGCCAACUCACAUUUAAAAUAUAUAUUUAAAUGUUUUAAUAAUAUAAAAUUCAAAAUAAAAAAACACAAUAAUGAUAAAUAAUAAUAACAUUUGAUAAUUAUCUAUAUCUAUAUCUCUCUCUCUCUCUCUCUCUCUCUCUAUAUAUAUAUAUAUAUAUAUAUAUAUAUAUAUAUAUAUAUAUAUAUGUAUACACAUUUAUAUGUGUAGUACAUACAUACGUGUGGACAUAUACACAUUUACGCACGUAGAAAUUUUAAUUUUUAAACACUCCUCAAUUUUUGUAUAUAAAAAUUAAUACUAUGAAAAGGGUUGCAAACAAAACACAAAAAAAAAAUGUCGAUUAUUCAAACAAAAAUAAGAAAAAAGAAAACAGACGGAAAACGAGUGAUGAUGAAUAUGUAAAGAAUAAAGAAUUUAGGCGAUAUAAAACAAAACAAGAUUUUAAUAAAUAUAAAGAAGAUGGUGAUGGUGAUGGUAGCGAUAGUGAUAGUAAUAGUGAUAGUAAUAGUGAUAAUGAAGAAAAAACUGAUAAUAGUGAUAAUAGUAGCUACUCAAAUAAAGUUCGCAAUAAUAAUAAAAAGAAAAAAAAAACAAUGAAUAAUAAAAGAAGAAGUGUUUCACUAGUAUCUACCUAUAAAAAAGAUAUUAUAAAUAAUAUAAAAUUAGCUAACCAAAUUUAUAAACUUGCAGUUGACAAUAAAAGUAAUGAUGACUCGUCAGAUAAUACUUACAAAAAUGAAAAGAAAAAUGAAAAGAGAAAUGUAAGGAAAAUUGAUUUGAGAAAUAAAAAUAAAAAAAAUAGAAGAAGUAUAAGCUGUGGUAAUUGUAACUCAGAUUCUGAUAAUAUGAAUACAAAAAAUAAAAAAGUAGAUAUAAAUAUAAACGAAAUUCAAACUAAAUACAAAAAUAAAAAUAUUAAAAUUAUAUAUGAUGGUGAACAAGCAAAACAAAUUAUUGUUAAAAAAAAAAAAAAAAAAGACAGUAAUAAUAGGGAAGGAGGAAACAAUCGAACAAAAUAUGAAGAUCCAUUGCAGUUGAGUGACACUGAUAGCAGUUGUGUCAGUUAUGAUAGCUAUGAUAGUUAUGAAGAAAAAUCAGAAAAAAGUGAAAGUAAUUUUAGUAGUAUUUAUAGUGGAAGUGACUAUAGUGAUAAUAACUAUGGUCAACACAAUAAAAGUGAUGGAAGUUUUUAUAAAAGAAAAAUAAACAAACAAAAAGAAACAAAUGAUAAGAGAAAAGAAAUUAAAUAUAAAAAUUUAAAAAGUAAAAAAAAAGAAAAAAGAAAAAUAAAACGAGAAAGAACGAAAAAAAGUUUUAAAAAUGAGUUUAAUACUUUAAGUGAUAGCUAUUGUGAAAAGACGCGAAAUAUAAAUUAUAAAAAAAUGAAACGAACAUAUUCAAGUGAUAAACAAAUUGGUAAAAAAAGUGGUCGUUAUCGUAACGAAUCUUGGUAUGACUUUGAAAAUGAAGAUAAAGAAAGAGAACGGACGAAAGAAAGGGAAUUGUGGAUGAAGAAAAGAGAUGAGUGGAAAAGGGAAAAAGAAAGAGAAAGAGAAAGAGAAAGAGAAAGACAAAAGGAAAGAGAAAAAGAAAGGGAAAAGGAAAGAGAAAGAGAAAUGAAAGAAGAAUGGGAAAUAGAAAGGGAAAGAGAAAGAAAAAAAGAGAGGGAAAGAGAAGAAUGGGAAAAAAUAAAAAAGGAGAGGGAAAGNNNNNNNNNNAUGGGAAAAAAUAAAAAAGGAGAGGGAAAGAGAAGAAUGGGAAAAAAAGAGAGAAAUAGAAGAGUGGGAGAGAGAAAAAAAAGAAUGGGAAAUGACAAAAGCAAGAAAAGAAAAUGAAAGAGGAGAGGAAAGAAAAUCGAAAGAAUUCGAAAAACAUAAGUUAUAUUAUAAUAGGAAUGAAAGUAUAUAUAGUGAUGGUAAAACAAAAGAUAGUAUGAAUUUGUUAAAUGAUUUAAAAAGGGAUUCUAUAAGUUCAGGUUUAUUACAAUAUAAAAAAUAUAAUGACAGAUCGAAUGAAUCAAAUAAAGACUUUAUUUUUAAUAUAAAUAAUAUAAUU